RNAcentral lists this long non-coding RNA (1427 nucleotides) under Pan troglodytes (chimpanzee). RNAcentral describes it as "lncRNA (ENSPTRG00000053962.1)". The record is from RNAcentral. Lineage: Eukaryota; Metazoa; Chordata; Mammalia; Primates; Hominidae.
UGUAUGAGAAGCUUUAUUAUUCUAACAGAUUUUGUUUACAAGCAGAAAAUAUUGGUAAAUCUCAUAUAACAUAAGGAUGUAUCAAUAGUUCCAUAUGCUAUGCUUUAAUAGAGUUCUGUAAGGUUUCUAAAGAUGACUUAAGUCAGCGUCACUGAAAAUAAAGAGUCAGAAAUAACCUAAAAAUUGAGUGAUUCCAUAGAACAAAUAUAUUCAUUUUACAGAUGGGGAACUGCGACAUGAAGAAGUUAACUUACCUAAGAUCAGAGAAUGAGUCAAGGACAGAACAGGACCAUGUCAUCAAAUUUAGAGAAACUUGAACUAUACACUACUUUGGAGAAAGCUGACCUAAGAUGCAGAAUUAGAGGUGCUCCAAAGGCCCAGAAUAUCCAUUGCCACCUAUUGAUGCAGCACAAGGGGCAGAGGUUCAAGAGGAAUGUGGGAACUGGAAAUGCCAGGGAAGACCAAAGUUGUCACAUCGGAUGAAGCCAGCAUGCCUGUCUUUAACUUCUAAUUCCUGUGGGAUGCCUGGGUGGAAAGGAAUCAAGAAGCUCAGUCCCCAAGCUGCUUAUGGAAUGUUGUAGAAAGCAGGUGUGGAAUUUUGUUCUUGUAAUUACUUUCCCUGCAAAUUCUUGUACCACUGUGUAAUCUGGUCUGGGGUUUGCCACUAACCCACUUUAUGACCUUGUGCCAGUUGUUACUCCUCUCUGUGCCUGUAUUCUCAUCUGUGCAAUAUAGGGACAUAAAUUUAUCCUUUUAGUGUUUUGCAUUUUUAUGUAAACUAUGCUUUGUUCUCAACUGAUAUCUUAUUAAAUACUCACUGAAAAUCCUGAAAAGUGGAUCCUGUACUUGUCAUUUUAUAGAUGAGAAAACUGUGAUUCAGAGAGACAAACUGAUUUGAGUCAAUGUCACAUGGCUAAUAAGAGAAGGAACAAGUUUCUAAAUCUGUGAGAUUCCAGAUGCAUCAUUCUACUCUUGUGAAAUACCCACAUUCACACUUGAGCUGUAUGUAUUUUUGUUUAUAAUGGAAAGAAUAUGAGGUUAGAAAUCUUGCUCCUGGAUUCAAAUUUAAACUCAUUUACCUGUACUGUUCUCCCAUCAUGGACAAAACUUUCUAAAUUUUUUGGCCUCUGCUUUCUUAAUUGUGCUAGAGAGAAUAAUAUCCCCUACUUGUAUCUAUGCUCUAAUACCUAUAUCUUGUGCAUAUAUUACCUUAAAUUGAAAAAAAGACUUGACCUAUGUGAUUAAGAUUGAAGACUUUGAGAUGGAGUGAUUAUCCUGGCUUAUCUGGAUGGGCCCAGUCUAAUCACAUGAAUUUCUAAAAGUAAACAAGGAAGGCAGAAGAGUGGGUCAGAGAAACAGAAGGACAGAAGGAGAGUCAGGAGAGAUGGCAGUGUGAAAAGGCUUGACACCUUGUUGCUGAUUCUGAC